Molecule: ribosomal RNA, 522 nt
Filed under: Phoma sp. HL1628S
Lineage: Eukaryota; Fungi; Ascomycota; Dothideomycetes; Pleosporales; Didymellaceae
Description: eukaryotic LSU rRNA
Rfam family: 5.8S ribosomal RNA (bases 149-302)
Source: RNAcentral
AAAAGGAAAGUAGGAUUGAAUGCUUUGCCUGCUAUCUCUUACCCAUGUCUUUUGAGUACCUUACGUUUCCUCGGCGGGUCCGCCCGCCGAUUGGACAAUUUAAACCAUUUGCAGUUGCAAUCAGCGUCUGAAAAAACUUAAUAGUUACAACUUUCAACAACGGAUCUCUUGGUUCUGGCAUCGAUGAAGAACGCAGCGAAAUGCGAUAAGUAGUGUGAAUUGCAGAAUUCAGUGAAUCAUCGAAUCUUUGAACGCACAUUGCGCCCCUUGGUAUUCCAUGGGGCAUGCCUGUUCGAGCGUCAUUUGUACCUUCAAGCUCUGCUUGGUGUUGGGUGUUUGUCUCGCCUCUGCGUGUAGACUCGCCUCAAAACAAUUGGCAGCCGGCGUAUUGAUUUCGGAGCGCAGUACAUCUCGCGCUUUGCACUCAUAACGACGACGUCCAAAAGUACAUUUUUACACUCUUGACCUCGGAUCAGGUAGGGAUACCCGCUGAACUUAAGCAUAUCAAUAAGCGGGAGAGAA